AAAUAUAUCCAUUUUAUUCAAUACAACUAAAGAGCAAAUAUAAUAACUAAAUUAUGUGAUGUUAUGAUGCAAUUGCAGGAUUUGAAGAACAUUAACAUGGGACAUGCAUAAUCAGUGAUAAAAGCGACGGUGUCUGAUAAGAACGAAGUUGGUAUGUCAUGGUAUAUUAUAGAUGUGCACCGCAACAUAUCAUGUAGUCUUGUCCCCAGCUUCUUGGCUUCUCAUGAAAUUCUUCUCAAAGAUUAUGCAAAAGAAAGAAUAAAAAAUUAAUAUCUGUGAUUAAAAUAGAAAGUGCAUG
RNAcentral lists this long non-coding RNA (298 nucleotides) under Prunus dulcis (almond). RNAcentral's name for it is "sRNA ncRNA". The record is from RNAcentral. Lineage: Eukaryota; Viridiplantae; Streptophyta; Magnoliopsida; Rosales; Rosaceae.